ACAGUUGCCAACUUUCACAGUAAACCAAAAAUCAAACAAAUCCCAUUUCAAAACAAGGCCAAAAUAAGCCAAUCCCUAAGAUCCCCA
Chelonoidis abingdonii (Abingdon island giant tortoise) is the source of this 87-nucleotide non-coding RNA. Lineage: Eukaryota; Metazoa; Chordata; Testudines; Testudinidae. The record is from RefSeq and is a predicted model, not a curated record.